UUCUCAGGUACAGUUUAUGUCGUCCUGUCAUCAGUCAUAAUGUCUCAGAUGACAACUGAACUGACAUACAUACUCAUUACGUUCCCAAGCAUAUUUCCAACUGGUUUUAUUACCAAAAUAUGGUUCCUUUUCCCCAUUUGUUUGAUGUUCCCAGACUCUCUAUAUUUAACACAGGCUAUUCAAGUCCUUCAGUAGGGUCAGAGAGGGGAAGGGAGAAAGAAGAGGUCAGCUGGAUGGAGAAAGAAGCUGUCGUGGAAGAGGAGACUGUUUCGAUACAAAAACAAGUGGAGGGUGAGGCUGUUACUGUGAAAGAAGAAGAGAAAGACGUUUCAGUGAAAGAAGAGGAGAGAGACGGGACUAUCUUGGAUCCUCUGGGGAGCCUCAACAACAUCAUGAAGCUGAUGAGG
RNAcentral lists this long non-coding RNA (407 nucleotides) under Salmo salar (Atlantic salmon). RNAcentral describes it as "lncRNA (ENSSSAG00000086345.1, ENSSSAG00000106372.1)". The record is from RNAcentral. Lineage: Eukaryota; Metazoa; Chordata; Actinopteri; Salmoniformes; Salmonidae.